GUCGAACGAAGUAGCAAUACUUAGUGGCAGACGGGUGAGUAACAUGUAGGUAUCUGCCCUUUGGCCUGGAAUAACACGAGGAAACUUGUGCUAAUACCGGAUAAGUCUUUACGGAGAAAGCUUUAUGCACCAUUGGAUGAGCCUGCACUUGAUUAGUUUGUUGGUGGGGUAAUGGCCACCAAGACUGUGAUCAAUAGCUGAUUUGAGAGGAUGAUCAGCCACAUUGGGACUGAGACACGGCCCAAACUCCUACGGGAGGCAGCAGUGGGGAAUCUUGCACAAUGGAGGAAACUCUGAUGCAGCGAUGCCGCGUGAGUGAAGAAGGCCUUUGGGUUGUAAAGCUCCUUCGUCGGGGAAGAAAAUGACUGUACCCGAAUAAGAAGGUCCGGCUAACUUCGUGCCAGCAGCCGCGGUAAUACGAAGGGACCUAGCGUAGUUCGGAAUUACUGGGCUUAAAGAGUUCGUAGGUGGUUGAAAAAGUUGGUGGUGAAAUCCCAGAGCUUAACUCUGGAACUGCCAUCAAAACUUUUCAGCUAGAGUAUGAUAGAGGAAAGCAGAAUUUCUAGUGUAGAGGUGAAAUUCGUAGAUAUUAGAAAGAAUACCAAUUGCGAAGGCAGCUUUCUGGAUCAUUACUGACACUGAGGAACGAAAGCAUGGGUAGCGAAGAGGAUUAGAUACCCUCGUAGUCCAUGCCGUAAACGAUGUGUGUUAGACGUUGGAAAUUUAUUUUCAGUGUCGCAGCGAAAGCGAUAAACACACCGCCUGGGGAGUACGACCGCAAGGUUAAAACUCAAAUGAAUUGACGGGGACCCGCACAAGUAGUGGAGC
RNAcentral lists this ribosomal RNA (828 nucleotides) under uncultured marine bacterium. RNAcentral describes it as "bacterial SSU rRNA". It matches the Rfam family "Bacterial small subunit ribosomal RNA", at positions 61 to 938 of the family's 1533-position model. The record is from RNAcentral.